GACGUAGGGGGCCAGCGUUGUUCGGAAUUACUGGGCGUAAAGGGUUCGUAGGCGGUGCGGCAAGUCGGGAGUGAAAUCUCUGGGCUUAACCCAGAGGCUGCUUCCGAAACUGCUGUGCUUGAGUGUGGGAGAGGCGCGUGGAAUUGCAGGUGUAGCGGUGAAAUGCGUAGAUAUCUGGAGGAACACCUAUGGCGAAGGCAGCUCGCUGGGACGUUACUGACGCUGAGACGCGAAAGCGUGGGGAGCAAACAGG
This 253-nucleotide ribosomal RNA is filed under the name uncultured bacterium. RNAcentral describes it as "partial 16S ribosomal RNA". It matches the Rfam family "Bacterial small subunit ribosomal RNA", at positions 524 to 776 of the family's 1533-position model. The record is from RNAcentral.